GGAAGAUGUAACGGGGCUAAACCAUGCACCGAAGCUGCGGCAGCGAACGUAUCACUUAAAGCGAUUCAGCGGGUUACGAUUGACGGAGCGAAGCGACGUCAAAGCGUAUACAAAGUCGAGUCGGUUUAAGGAUACGUUCGUUGGGUAGGGGAGCGUUCUGUAAGCCCGUGAAGGUGGCCUGUGAGGGUUGCUGGAGGUAUCAGAAGUGCGAAUGCUGACAUAAGUAACGAUA
Molecule: ribosomal RNA, 232 nt
Filed under: Salmonella enterica
Lineage: Bacteria; Pseudomonadati; Pseudomonadota; Gammaproteobacteria; Enterobacterales; Enterobacteriaceae
Also listed under: 3 other names
Description: partial 23S ribosomal RNA
Rfam family: Bacterial large subunit ribosomal RNA
Source: RNAcentral